CAGUUAUCAAGAAAGGUGGAGGGACUAGACCCAAUGAAGCCUUGGCAACCCUUUUAAAAGUGAAUUCGCUUAAAAAGAAGGUGCUAAGUUCUAUUCAGAAUCUAAUAUUUUGAAAUAGAUAACAA
Molecule: non-coding RNA, 125 nt
Filed under: Paracellulophaga tyrosinoxydans
Lineage: Bacteria; Pseudomonadati; Bacteroidota; Flavobacteriia; Flavobacteriales; Flavobacteriaceae
Description: Cellulophaga tyrosinoxydans SAM-I sequence
Rfam family: SAM riboswitch aptamer (S box leader)
About the family: The SAM riboswitch is found upstream of a number of genes which code for proteins involved in methionine or cysteine biosynthesis in Gram-positive bacteria. The SAM riboswitch acts at the level of transcription termination control.
Source: Rfam by way of RNAcentral